This is a non-coding RNA of Paramuricea clavata, 479 nucleotides long. The record is from the annotation of a GenBank genome assembly. Lineage: Eukaryota; Metazoa; Cnidaria; Anthozoa; Malacalcyonacea; Plexauridae.
CGCACACAAGAAUACAAUUUAGUACUGUAAAUUACUGCUAUGACAAUGCAGUCAUUCUCAGAUAUGUUCCGCCUUCAUUUCCACGUAAUACAGGCCUAAAAAAUAUAUUCUCUUCCUGGAGCAAAAUAGUCCUCAGAAUCUCCUGUGGCUGUGUAUAAAUAUUUCUCAAAUUCAUUAAUAAUUCAUGAGCAAUUCAGCCAAUGAAAUCACCUAUUUGAUCACAAAUGGGAUAUCCAAAUGGGAUAUCCAAAUGGGAUAACCCGGUGAAACUUGAUGAAAGUCACUAGUGUUUUCAUCAAAUAUCUUAAUUACGCAUGCAAAAUUACUUCAGUAGAAUUCCUAAUUACGUUAUGCUUGGUUAACAAUUCUAUUCAAAUCAGCAAACGAAAACAUUCUGUUACGUCGCGAUUCAUUUGAGAAGCCAUAUAAACAACUCGAGCUCGUGUCUCACCGGGAUAUCCAAACACUCGAAAACAAUG